UGGGGAAUAUUGGACAAUGGAGGAAACUCUGAUCCAGCAAUUCUGUGUGUGUGAAGAAGGUUUUAGGACUGUAAAACACUUUUAGUAGGGAAGAAAAAAAUGACGGUACCUACAGAAGAAGCAACGGCUAAAUACGUGCCAGCAGCCGCGGUAAUACGUAUGUUGCGAGCGUUAUCCGGAAUUAUUGGGCUUAAAGGGCAUCUAGGCGGUAAGACAAGUUGAAGGUGAAAACCUGUGGCUCAACCAUAGGCUUGCCUACAAAACUGUUGAACUAGAGUACUGGAAAGGUGGGUGGAACUACACGAGUAGAGGUGAAAUUCGUAGAUAUGUAUAGGAAUGCCGAUGAUGAAGAUAACUCACUGGACAGAAACUGACGCUGAAGUGCGAAAGCUAGGGGAGCAAACAGG
Molecule: ribosomal RNA, 407 nt
Filed under: Verrucomicrobiota bacterium
Lineage: Bacteria; Pseudomonadati; Verrucomicrobiota
Description: Verrucomicrobia bacterium partial 16S ribosomal RNA
Rfam family: Bacterial small subunit ribosomal RNA
Source: RNAcentral